CACACACACACACAGCACAGAUUUUUUUGAUUAUGUAGAUUUCUUUUCCUACUGCAGUUUCAUAUGCAAAGCAUGCAUCAGCCACAUCCAUGCUAUCUCCUAAAGCAGUCAUUCUGAAACCCAAUCUGGGGACAGUGCAGACUAAAUAAAAUUUCAUUUUGAUUUGGCCUCCCGCUGCGAAUGGGACUGCUUUGUCUCAGCCGACAGAACCAGCAAGCCAGAAAGGGAAUGAAGACAUUUGGAGAAGAAGCGUUUACUGAAAGGAGAUUCCUGGGCUGGAGGAAAACCAUGAUCUACAGUUCAUGUUGACAGAUAUUGUAUUUUUGGUCCUAGAUCUGACUUUUGAAAUGACUUAUCACAAAUUCAAAUUUAGCAAUCAUGAGUGAAGUACCCACGAUGUGCUAAGCAUCUACCUCUGCAGAUAGAAGAACACUUACUGUUCCUGAGCAUGGGAGGGAAUAGAAGUUCCUGGGUCCUGGCCUCACCUCAUCAGGCACUGCCAAAUUUGACACCUCCUUCCUGUUCACGGCAGUCCUUUGCGAUAGGGUAUUAGAUGCCACCAAGUAGCUGCAUAACUCACCCAUUUGGUCAGAGCCUGGGUCUAAGCCAGGUCUGACAGACUCCAAAGCAAGCCCUGUUUACAGCAUGACUGGGAUCCAGUGGGUAAGACCAACCUGUCAAUGCCCAAGUGCAGAUGCAAUAAUAGUGCUUCAACUGAUUGUUGCAAACCCCUCAUGAGGGAUGCCAAAUCCCAGUGCAGAUGGUAACACAGGCUAUUUUUC
Molecule: long non-coding RNA, 782 nt
Filed under: Homo sapiens (human)
Lineage: Eukaryota; Metazoa; Chordata; Mammalia; Primates; Hominidae
Description: non-protein coding LINC01102:3
Source: RNAcentral